GAACUCCACAAGCCACGUCACCAGGAAAAAAGACAGAAGUCCUCCUGACUCUCCAAUUCAAAUUGGACCUGGGGUUUGAGGACCCUUCUCAGGACCCUACCAGUGUUCAUUCCCUCCAGUUCCCCUCUCUCUCCCACAUAUCCCAAAGUGUUGUCUACUCUCAAAAGAGCACAGAGGUCAGGGUUCUCCCAAGCACACCCACUUGGACAGAGCAGCUCCUCAGGCCUCCAUGAUGUCCAUCUCUGCCUCCCAGCCCCAUCCACCUCCUCCUUGCCUGCUGCUGAUUCUACUGCUGGGACUCACAGAUGGGGAAACUGAGGCAGAGAGAGUAACUUGCUCAAUGUCACCUACC
This 352-nucleotide long non-coding RNA is filed under the name Equus caballus (horse). RNAcentral's name for it is "lncRNA (ENSECAG00000053550.1)". Lineage: Eukaryota; Metazoa; Chordata; Mammalia; Perissodactyla; Equidae. The record is from RNAcentral.